Molecule: long non-coding RNA, 298 nt
Filed under: Zea mays
Lineage: Eukaryota; Viridiplantae; Streptophyta; Magnoliopsida; Poales; Poaceae
Description: long non-coding RNA (ZMAY_LNC002858)
Source: RNAcentral
UCGUCCUCUUCCUCAUCCAUCAACGAGUCGGUGGUGGAGGAGCAGACCAAGCAGACCAAGCAGACCUAGGUGCUUUCCCUCGCCGCGGCAAUGGAUGACUCCACAUGCGAAGUGUGUCAGUGACUGCUGGAUAGGUUUCGCUUCCCUAUGAUGUGCUGUUGGUUUUGGGAUCAAUUUGUUUUUUUGCUUACGAUGGUGCACUGUGGUCUGCAGAGAAGAAGUGCCUCAACUCGGAGCUAUGACACGCGUGUGCCGGCCCGCUUGUCUCUUGUCUGCCUCCCCACCGUCGGCACAUGCG